UCCGAAUUGGUCCAAUGGUUAGGAUACCCCGCUUUCACCGGGGCGGUCGGGGUUCGAUUCCCCGAUUCGGAG
Molecule: transfer RNA, 72 nt
Filed under: Serendipita indica DSM 11827
Lineage: Eukaryota; Fungi; Basidiomycota; Agaricomycetes; Sebacinales; Serendipitaceae
Description: Piriformospora indica DSM 11827 tRNA
Rfam family: tRNA
About the family: Transfer RNA (tRNA) molecules are approximately 80 nucleotides in length. Their secondary structure includes four short double-helical elements and three loops (D, anti-codon, and T loops).
Source: Rfam by way of RNAcentral